GUACACUCCUGCGGGAGGCAGCAGUGGGGAAUUUUGGACAAUGGGCGAAAGCCUGAUCCAGCAAUGCCGCGUGAGUGAAGAAGGCCUUCGGGUUGUAAAGCUCUUUUGUCAGGGAAGAAACGGUGAAAGCUAAUAUCUUUUGCUAAUGACGGUACCUGAAGAAUAAGCACCGGCUAACUACGUGCCAGCAGCCGCGGUAAUACGUAGGGUGCAAGCGUUAAUCGGAAUUACUGGGCGUAAAGCGUGCGCAGGCGGUUUUGUAAGUCUGAUGUGAAAUCCCCGGGCUCAACCUGGGGAUUGCAUUGGAGACUGCAAGGCUAGAAUCUGGCAGAGGGGGGUAGAAUUCCACGUGUAGCAGUGAAAUGCGUAGAUAUGUGGAGGAACACCGAUGGCGAAGGCAGCCCCCUGGGUCAAGAUUGACGCUCAUGCACGAAAGCGUGGGGAGCAAACAGGAUUAGAUACCCCAGUAGUCCCA
RNAcentral lists this ribosomal RNA (475 nucleotides) under uncultured organism. Its description in RNAcentral is "partial 16S ribosomal RNA". It matches the Rfam family "Bacterial small subunit ribosomal RNA", at positions 331 to 797 of the family's 1533-position model. The record is from RNAcentral.